This is a long non-coding RNA of Tupaia belangeri chinensis (Chinese tree shrew), 1715 nucleotides long. RefSeq lists it as uncharacterized. The record is from RefSeq and is a predicted model, not a curated record. The transcript has 4 exons. NCBI's taxonomy places the organism in Eukaryota, Metazoa, Chordata, Mammalia, Scandentia, Tupaiidae.
CUACGUUCCCUCCUUUUGAAGGUCUUGUUACCAUUCCAACCAAUGGAACAUGAGUGUUUUAUGACAUAACCAUUAGACCAUCUUCUGGUUCCAUAGCUCUUGUCCUUGAAAGGCACUUUCAAUGGGUAUAAAAUUACAGGUUUGGGGACCAGCAGAUGGCAUAACGGGUCACAAAAAGGAUAUACCUUCUGCUUAGCUCCCCGUGGGAUGCUCUCCCUUGGAACCAGCCACCGUGUUGUGAAGGAGCACAGGCCGCAUGGAUAGGAACUGAAGAUUUACCAACAGCCAGCAUCAAUGGAUGAACAUGUGCAUGAAUGGCUUUUCCUGCUUCCAGCCUCCAAGUCUUACAACGAACAACAUGGGGAGGAGAUAAGCCAUCCCUGCUUCACCCUGUUGAAUCCCUGUCCCACAGAAUCUGGGAGCAUAAGAAAUGCUGUUUUAAGCCCCUACCUCACUCAGCAGCAGUAACUGGAAUGUUCCCCAAUGUAUCUCCAAUGCCUAACUUAGGUCUGGCACAUGGUGGAUGCGUAAUAAAUAUUUGUUGGGUUUAUAAAAGACAUUAGCUAAUGUAUUCUUCUUCUAGACUCUAUAGAUUGCUCUUUAGAAAACCCCCAUGCCUUACACUAGUUAUCUUCCAUCUCUGCUUGGAACAAAGGCUCACUCUCCUGUUUGCCAGUGAAUGAAAGUCCCUUAGAGAAAGGGCUCCAGCCCUUCCCAGUUCCUCAGAAAGCUAAGGGGUGAGGUCAACCCUGCUUCCUGCCUUUUGGGAUCCACCCUCAAAGCAAAUAGGCCACUCAUCCCUCUGUGUCUCAAAUAAAUAUUUAUAUUGCCCUUGUUUGGGUGACUGCCAUUUUGUUUUCCUCAUAGACUGGGAACUUCCAGGACAAAAGUGAUGUGGAAAGAAAAGACAUUUUCAGACUGCACCUGCAUCAUCCAAUCUAAAAAAAAAAGCCAGAAGCAGUGAUGGCACUGCUAAAAAUAACACUUGGAUGUGCCAUGACAUUAGCAGAGCAGAAUGUCUAACAGUGUUGCCAAGGAGAGGCACUCCAAGACCCGCUUAAAUGGUAAUUACAGAACGAAGGCAGAGCAUGGGGCCAGGAGAGCAGAAGCCAGCUCUGCCUCCAGCUGGAGCAGUUUCCAGAUCAAGAAAAGGAGACAAGACGGCUGGAUCCCACCUCUAGUGCCCUUUUCAGCUUCCACAUACUUUCCAUGGUCUGGCUUCCCGAGUUCCAAAAAGUGAAAAGGGCACACUUCAGACCUAGAAAAACCCAAAUCCCAGUGGAGGGGGCUUCCCAUGAGCAAGGGUUGGACUUCUCUGAACCAAUCUCCAGAACAAUGUUGACAACUCAGAUCACCGCUGAUUUUAAAGAACUCCAAACCUGAUACUCCUGGCCACUCGCCAGGGUGCUUCCUGAGUGAUGAGAAGUGAAAAGCAAACCCAGGCCCCUGGCCAUGGAGGGGGCAGGAGAAGGGAGCCCCAGCGGCAGGGGUUCCUGGUCCUGCACUUGCCCUGGGCUGCACAGGACACCGCUCUCACUUUGGGGUGGCUCAGCACCUUGGGGGCUCCCAUGAGCCUGAGUGACAGCUGGUCCAAACUUUGGGUAAAAAGCUGGCUUGGAGUUCCUCCUCAAAUACACCAGAGUGUGGCAGAUCGAGAACUGGGUAGGUUUAUACCCAAGAGUGACUUGUCUUUUUUUUAAGAUUUCUUUCUUUCU